This 98-nucleotide small nuclear RNA is filed under the name Zalophus californianus (California sea lion). The record is from RNAcentral. RNAcentral also lists the same sequence under 1 other name. Lineage: Eukaryota; Metazoa; Chordata; Mammalia; Carnivora; Otariidae.
AUAGAAUAAAAUAAAUAAAAUUGGAAUGAUAACAGGAAAGAUUAGCAUGGACCCUGAGCAAGGAUGACACACAGAUUUGUGAGGUGUUCCAUAUUUUA